GGAGGAAAAGAAACUAACAAGGAUUCCCCUAGUAACUGCGAGUGAAGCGGGAAGAGCUCAAAUUUAAAAUCUGGUGUGUCUCUGGCCGCCCGAGUUGUAGUCUGGAGAAGUGUUUUCCGUGUUGGACCGUGUACAAGUCCCUUGGAACAGGGCGUCAUAGAGGGUGAGAAUCCCGUCUUUGACACGGACUACCAAUGCUCUGUGAUGCGCUCUCAAAGAGUCGAGUUGUUUGGGAAUGCAGCUCAAAAUGGGUGGUAAAUUCCAUCUAAAGCUAAAUAUAGGCGAGAGACCGAUAGCGAACAAGUACCGUGAGGGAAAGAUGAAAAGCACUUUGGAAAGAGAGUUAAACAGUACGUGAAAUUGCUGAAAGGGAAACGCUUGAAGUCAGUCGUGUCUGCCAGGACUCAGCCUUGCUUCUGCUCGGUGUACUUUCUGGUCGGAUGGGCCAACAUCAAUUUCAACCGUCGGAGAAAGGCUUUGGGAAUGUGGCACCUUCGGGUGUGUUAUAGCCCUCUGUUGUAUACGACGGUCGAGAUUGAGGACUGCAGCACGCCUUUAUGGCCGGGGUUCGCCCACGUACGUGCUUAGGAUGUUGGCGUAAUGGCUUCAAGCGACCCG
Molecule: ribosomal RNA, 618 nt
Filed under: uncultured Thelephoraceae
Lineage: Eukaryota; Fungi; Basidiomycota; Agaricomycetes; Thelephorales; Thelephoraceae
Description: eukaryotic LSU rRNA
Rfam family: Eukaryotic large subunit ribosomal RNA
Source: RNAcentral